This 790-nucleotide ribosomal RNA is filed under the name uncultured bacterium. Its description in RNAcentral is "bacterial SSU rRNA". It matches the Rfam family "Bacterial small subunit ribosomal RNA", at positions 74 to 863 of the family's 1533-position model. The record is from RNAcentral.
AGGGGGCAACCCCUUGAGAGUGGCGAACGGGUGAGUAAUGUAUCGGAACGUGCCCAGUCGUGGGGGAUAACGUAGUGAAAAUUACGCUAAUACCGCAUACGAUCUAUGGAUGAAAGCGGGGGAUCGCAAGACCUCGCGCGAUUGGAGCGGCCGAUAUCAGAUUAGGUAGUUGGUGGGGUAAAGGCUCACCAAGCCAACGAUCUGUAGCUGGUCUGAGAGGACGACCAGCCACACUGGAACUGAGACACGGUCCAGACUCCUACGGGAGGCAGCAGUGGGGAAUUUUGGACAAUGGACGCAAGUCUGAUCCAGCCAUUCCGCGUGCAGGACGAAGGCCUUCGGGUUGUAAACUGCUUUUGUACGGAACGAAAAAGCUCUUAUUAAUACUAGGAGUCCAUGACGGUACCGUAAGAAUAAGCACCGGCUAACUACGUGCCAGCAGCCGCGGUAAUACGUAGGGUGCAAGCGUUAAUCGGAAUUACUGGGCGUAAAGCGUGCGCAGGCGGUUAUAUAAGACAGAUGUGAAAUCCCCGAGCUUAACUUGGGAACUGCAUUUGUGACUGUAUAGCUAGAGUACGGCAGAGGGGGAUGGAAUUCCGCGUGUAGCAGUGAAAUGCGUAGAUAUGCGGAGGAACACCGAUGGCGAAGGCAAUCCCCUGGGCCUGUACUGACGCUCAUGCACGAAAGCGUGGGGAGCAAACAGGAUUAGAUACCCUGGUAGUCCACGCCCUAAACGAUGUCAACUGGUUGUUGGGUCUUCACUGACUCAGUAACGAAGCUAACGCGUGAA